This 422-nucleotide ribosomal RNA is filed under the name uncultured bacterium. Its description in RNAcentral is "partial 16S ribosomal RNA". It matches the Rfam family "Bacterial small subunit ribosomal RNA", at positions 360 to 774 of the family's 1533-position model. The record is from RNAcentral.
AAUUUUGGACAAUGGGGGAAACCCUGAUCCAGCCAUCUCGCGUGCGCGAUGAAGGCCUUCGGGUUGUAAAGCACUUUUGGCAGGGAAGAAAAGGUUCUGGCUAAUAAUCGGAACAGCUGUCGGUACUUGCAGAACAAGCACCGGCUAACCACGUGCCAGCAGCCGCGGUAAUACGUAGGGUGCAAGCGUUAAUCGGAAUUACUGGGCGUAAAGCGUGCGCAGGCGGUUUGGCAAGAAGGAUGUGAAAUCCCGGGGCUUAACCUCGGAACUGCAUUCUUAAAUGCCAGGCUAGAGUAUGUCAGAGGGGGGUAGAAUUCCACGUGUAGCAGUGAAAUGCGUAGAGAUGUGGAGGAAUACCGAUGGCGAAGGCAGCCCCCUGGGAUAAUACUGACGCUCAUGCACGAAAGCGUGGGGAGCAAACA